RNAcentral lists this long non-coding RNA (481 nucleotides) under Pongo abelii (Sumatran orangutan). RNAcentral describes it as "lncRNA (ENSPPYG00000032309.1)". The record is from RNAcentral. Lineage: Eukaryota; Metazoa; Chordata; Mammalia; Primates; Hominidae.
CCACUUUUAACCUUUGUUUAUUUUAACCCACUGACACUGGUUUUACUCUUCAUUCUCAAACAUGAAAAAACAGAUAGAUGUUUUCUUUCUCUUAACAGAAUUGUGAAAAAUCAGGUGAGCUGCUGUUAUGUGAGGCUCAGUGCUGCGGGGCUUUCCACCUGGAGUGCCUUGGAUUGACUGAGAUGCCAAGAGGGAAAUUUAUCUGCAAUGAAUGUCACACACAGGUUUUUAUCGGCGCUUCUCUGUGGAGGAGGCGGUGCGCACGGCUUCAGCGCCGAAUGCUGCACCUUCCACUGGACGGCGACGAAGGCGGUUGCCGUGCCAGCGCAGGACUGGGCGGCCUGUGUGGGAGUGUGAGCUGCGGUGCCCCGGGCAGCGCUCCAGAGGGGAAGCCGCGCGGCAGGCUGGAGCUACUCGGCCAGGGUUUCAGACUUUAAAUGAGAAUAAAGGGUGGUAUUUACGAGGAAAUGAGAGUGAAUAA